CAGAGGUCUCAACCGUUGUUCGGAUUCAUUGGGCGUAAAGGGUGCGUAGGCGGCGGAGUAAGUCAGGUGUGAAAUCUCGGGGCUCAACCCCGAAACUGCACUUGAUACUGCUUCGCUCGAGUACUGGAGAGGAGACUGGAAUUUACGGUGUAGCAGUGAAAUGCGUAGAUAUCGUAAGGAAGACCAGUGGCGAAGGCGAGUCUCUGGACAGUUACUGACGCUGAGGCACGAAGGCCAGGGGAGCAAACGGGAUUAGAUACCCCGGUAGUCCUGGCAGUAAACGGUGCACGUUUGGUGUGGGAGGAUUCGACCCCUUCCGCGCCGGAGCUAACGCGUUAAACGUGCCGCCUGGGAAGUACGGUCGCAAGAUUA
This 372-nucleotide ribosomal RNA is filed under the name uncultured organism. RNAcentral describes it as "bacterial SSU rRNA". It matches the Rfam family "Bacterial small subunit ribosomal RNA", at positions 526 to 896 of the family's 1533-position model. The record is from RNAcentral.